This 67-nucleotide transfer RNA is filed under the name Macroscelides flavicaudatus (Namib round-eared sengi). RNAcentral's name for it is "tRNA-Pro". It matches the Rfam family "tRNA". From Rfam's summary of the family: Transfer RNA (tRNA) molecules are approximately 80 nucleotides in length. Their secondary structure includes four short double-helical elements and three loops (D, anti-codon, and T loops). Lineage: Eukaryota; Metazoa; Chordata; Mammalia; Macroscelidea; Macroscelididae. The record is from RNAcentral.
CAAGAAGUAGUUUAAAUAGAAUGUCAGCUUUGGGUGCUGAUGGUAGGGUUUAGUACCUUCUUCUUGA